RNAcentral lists this ribosomal RNA (329 nucleotides) under uncultured eukaryote. Its description in RNAcentral is "partial 18S ribosomal RNA". It matches the Rfam family "Eukaryotic small subunit ribosomal RNA", at positions 1470 to 1796 of the family's 1831-position model. The record is from RNAcentral.
CCCUUAGAUGUUCUGGGCCGCACGCGCGCUACACUGUUUGAUUCAGCGAGUCUUAACCUUGACCGAAAGGUUUGGGUAAUCUUCUAAAGUCAAACGUGAUGGGGAUCGAUCAUUGCAAUUAUUGAUCGCGAACGAGGAAUUCCUAGUAAAUGCAAGUCAUCAGCUUGCGUUGAUUACGUCCCUGCCCUUUGUACACACCGCCCGUCGCUACUACCGAUUGAAUGGUUUAGUGAGAUCUCCGGAUUGGCUCUGUAGGUCCCGCAAGGGAUUUAUUAGUAGCCAAGAAGCUGCUCAAACUUGAUCAUUUAGAGGAAGUAAAAGUCGUAACA